AUCUGGUUCUUUAAUGCCACUUAUUCGAACUGGACUUUUAUUACAUUUUCAUAUUAAGCCCAAUCAUUUAGCCCAUUCCUUUGAACAUCUGUUACAAGCCCACACGAUUAGGUUUCUUCUUCAUUUUUCCUUUCACGCCUGCGACCUUCCUUCUUCCUCUCAAGACGACCCCCCUACGAAAUUUCACAGAGACUUAAAGCUGCGUUCGAUCUUCCUAACGUCUCAACCAUCCAUUAAUCUGUUCUUUACUCCGAGUUUUUCCUUGAUUAUUCCACUCCUCCCGCGUUUCAUUUAUUCCUCAUCACCACCUCUGUCAGCUUCCUCACACUCAUUAUCUCAAAGAAGCGUUGUGACUCUCCUCUCCACAAACGGCCAAAAAACUAUCCAAACCAUGACGGCUUCCCAACUAUGGCUCUCUGCAUUGAAUCGUUGUAAUGGCGACAAUUGUCACACGGCUGCUCCCUUUUUGGGAAGCUCGGAAUGUGAAGAAAGGCGUUGAAGAAGCUGGGAUGAUGAGUACUGAAUCCUUACUAAACAACUUCUUAAGUGUUUUUCGUUACUUCCCGUUAAAAACUCAAUUUUUAGGUCUUUAGUUUGCUGUUAGAAAGAUUGAACCUUGCGUCUAGGGAUUGAUUCAUAUAGGCUGAGCUUUAUGUGUAGAAGACUAAAGGAAAGAUCUUUCAAAAUCAAAGCUUUGAUUCUUCGGCUGACAAUGCGUUAUCUCAAAUAUUUUCUCUACAUAUAAUGUCUAACAAGAGUUUUGACCAAAAAAAAAAAAAUAUAAUGUCUAACAAGAGAAAGUGGUGAAAACAAAUCGUGAUACCACUAUGAACAGUUCAAAAGUGAUCGAUCAGGUUCACUGAUUCGGUAGAGACAACAAGUGAUCAUUUUGGAGAAAGCAAGGCAAGAUUUAGAAACACUGAGGGAACACAUCUUUUCACGGCUGAUGAAAGAGCUCCAAGUUACUGAUUUGUGGAAGCUGCUGCAAACUUAUUCCCCAGGGUCAUAUGCAUGAGUAUGUUGACAGCAACGGUUUUUAAGUUCUGUGUAUCAAGGACACUCUCUACUCCCGAUGAGAUUAACACUAUGCUUUUACAGCUUAGUGACUCCUUUAAAGCCGCCGCAGAUCAAUAUGCUCAAUGCGUAAGCCGUUUCGUCAGAUGUACAACUUAAUGUUGUUCUAUAUCAGUGAAAACACUUAAGCUAACAGCUACAACAUUCACGAAGCAACUUCAUGCAAUGGUCAAGAAAAAGUCACCUCCACCGGCUAGAAACCAAGCUCCAGCUCCGACAGAGUGAUAACAAGCGUUCAAAGCAUCUUCCUUACGAACUCCACUGCUUGGUCGCAAAUAGUCAAUGAACAACCAGUGGCUGGAAAAACAUCGAAAGGUGGUCAUGGUUAAUGAGGAGUUUUUAAGGCCACAACCCUGCACAGCUACGAGAGCCACUAAAGAGCCUUUGGGAAAGACUGCUCGAGCAGCUCACCAAGAGAUCCAAGCACAUAAAAGAAAUGGUGGUUUCCAACAAGUUUAUUGUGGAUUAUGUCACUGUUUUCAGAUAUCAUUAAACUCAGUGUAGCAUCUAUUACGUAAUGUUUCUUUUAGAUUUGUAAAACUGGAAACACACCCUGACAUUCAAAAUAUUGGUGACUAAAUGCAGGUUAAAAAAAAAGGUUGAACAGGGUCCCCCUAGGCUUCCUAUAGGGCACCACCAAAAUGCUUGCCACAGCCUCCGUAGAUUGCUGGGGAAUAGAAACUGGAAUCUCUGUUGCAGCAACCAACACAUAUGAUGGUGUAGAAAACAGAGGUCGGGAUCAUUCUCCUUAUAGUUAAUACCAUUAUAUUCCUGGGUUCUAAAAGUUUAUGUCCAUAUCUGUGCGAUGUAGCUAAUGCGAACAAAUCUAGAGCUCUACAGAUAAACCAAGAAUCUUUGUACAUAGUGAAAGCCACAUGUCUUCAUAUUCUGCCUAUGUCAGCAUUGAGAGUUGAAGUAUUCUCUGAAACCACAAUGCUUUGUUCAAGAAUUAUUAUACAACUUUUAUGUCAA
Long non-coding RNA from Brassica napus (rape), 2046 nucleotides. RefSeq lists it as uncharacterized. The transcript has 6 exons. The record is from RefSeq and is a predicted model, not a curated record. Lineage: Eukaryota; Viridiplantae; Streptophyta; Magnoliopsida; Brassicales; Brassicaceae.